AUAAACGAGAGUGUCAACAUUCAUACAUUAAAAAUUACAUAAGGCCCCUGAUUUCGUGAGGUACCUUCCUGACACCAGUGUAGACUACAGAGAUUUAAUUUAGGAAAGUUUUUUUUUUUUUAAUUCUUUUCAAGGUUAACAGUAUUUUUAUUUUAUUUAAAAAAUUUAUUAUUGGAGUAUAAUUGCUUUACGAUGUUGUAUUAGUGUCUGCUAUACAACGAAGCCAAUCAGCUGUAUGUAUACAGAUAUCCCCUCCCCCUGGAUCUCCCAUCCCACUCCUCUAGGUCAUCGCAGAGCCCUGAGCUGAGCUCCCUGCUUCCCAUUAGCUGUUUUACACACGGUAACGUAUAUAGGUCAAUGGCUACUCUUAAUUCAGCAAAGUUGAAUCAUAUGUUAAAUGUCUCUACACUGAUGCAGUGCAAAAACGAAUCUACUGCAGCAAAACAGAGCACACGGAUAUUACUUUUCAAACGUAUGCCAGGGCAUGUGAAAACACACACCCCCCCAGGGGUUACUGAUUUGUUCAAGGUCACGCUGUUUUAGAAUUCCCAAGAACUGGUGCCCUGCCCUUGGAGGCUGUGCCUCUUUCAGUUUCACGGUGAAACUGUUGGCCAGGCAGCCAACAUUUAUCAAAGACCCUACAGAUUCUUAUGGUCAAUUUGGGGGGAAAAAAAAGAAAAAAUCCCACAUUCGAUGAAAACUCAGUUCGUGGCAGUGUUUAACACGCCCUUAAUCAUGGUUUCCUGGUGACUUGUCAGCAUGUCCUUCUGAGUGGCCACAGGGUGCAAUCCACAGAGCUCUGUGGAGCCUCAAAACAAAGAAGUGCAUGACAAAAGGCACCCCUCCUUAGCUGAACUAGACAUGUUUGUUUUCCUUGAAAGUUUAGCCUGGGAAGGACAACAGGCAAGCAAACUGAUCUGCGAGAUUAAAGGAGAAAAGCCCAGAAGACACUGGAUCAGCUAAUGAUGAAGAGCUGAAUAUACUCCUGCUCACUUUCCGAAGGUCGAUUCUCUACAUCUGUGUCUCUAUUCCUGCCCUGCAGACACGAAGACCACCCCAUGGAUCCAGCUCAGAGGCCUCAGGUGUUACCACGCUCCGUAAGGCUCCGCAUUAA
Capra hircus (goat) is the source of this 1114-nucleotide long non-coding RNA. RefSeq lists it as uncharacterized. The record is from RefSeq and is a predicted model, not a curated record. NCBI's taxonomy places the organism in Eukaryota, Metazoa, Chordata, Mammalia, Artiodactyla, Bovidae. The transcript is spliced from 3 exons.